CCCUAGCCCCGGUAGAAGCGGCAUCUCCCGAUUUAGAAAAACAAGGCUUUUUUUCAAGCCGUAGUUUUUAUUAAUCGGGAAUACAGCGGAUGACGGGAAAUAGC
This 104-nucleotide unclassified non-coding RNA is filed under the name Flavobacterium degerlachei. RNAcentral's name for it is "Flavo-1 RNA". Lineage: Bacteria; Pseudomonadati; Bacteroidota; Flavobacteriia; Flavobacteriales; Flavobacteriaceae. The record is from RNAcentral.